Molecule: ribosomal RNA, 549 nt
Filed under: uncultured bacterium
Lineage: Bacteria
Description: bacterial SSU rRNA
Rfam family: Bacterial small subunit ribosomal RNA
Source: RNAcentral
UGGGGAAUAUUGGACAAUGGGCGAAAGCCUGAUCCAGCCAUGCCGCGUGUGUGAAGAAGGUCUUUUGGUUGUAAAGCACUUUAAGUGGGGAGGAAAAGCUUAUGGUUAAUACCCAUAAGCCCUGACGUUACCCACAGAAUAAGCACCGGCUAACUCUGUGCCAGCAGCCGCGGUAAUACAGAGGGUGCAAGCGUUAAUCGGAAUUACUGGGCGUAAAGCGCGCGUAGGUGGUUAUUUAAGUCAGAUGUGAAAGCCCCGGGCUUAACCUGGGAACUGCAUCUGAUACUGGAUAACUAGAGUAGGUGAGAGGGGAGUAGAAUUCCAGGUGUAGCGGUGAAAUGCGUAGAGAUCUGGAGGAAUACCGAUGGCGAAGGCAGCUCCCUGGCAUCAUACUGACACUGAGGUGCGAAAACGUGGGUAGCAAACAGGAUUAGAUACCCUGGUAGUCCACGCCGUAAACGAUGUCUACCAGUCGUUGGGUCUUUUAAAGACUUAGUGACGCAGUUAACGCAAUAAGUAGACCGCCUGGGGAGUACGGCCGCAAGGUUA